Molecule: RNA transcript, 1644 nt
Organism: Daphnia carinata
Lineage: Eukaryota; Metazoa; Arthropoda; Branchiopoda; Diplostraca; Daphniidae
Gene name: 5-methylcytosine rRNA methyltransferase NSUN4-like
Exons: 8
Source: RefSeq, a predicted model, not a curated record
ACACGUGCAUGAAGGACGCAUCAAAAUUAUACUGUUGUAAAAUUUUAAAUAGUUAUGCGAAAUGUUCGCACGCCAGUCGUGCUAUAUUACAAAGCUACAGAAGAUAUGUCAAGUUGGUGUUAACUUUCCGCAAGGAGUUAUCAUCAAGCGGCAAAAAUUUGACAAAAGAGAAGCUGGCUUGUUUGUGAAAACAAAUAUUGAUAGGGCCUUGGAUCACUUUGAUGAUUUUUAUGGCACUUUUUAUGGAAACCUUUGGCCAUCUACCAGACUUGCAAUGUUGUCUGCGCCCAAGCACUGUGCUCUUGUUAACUACUAUGCCGAUUACGAAAAAACGAUAAAAAAAUUAAAGGAAAUGGGAUGUAUUGACAUUCAAGAGUUUUAUGAAGAAACCAGAUCCAAAAAAACAAGAAAAAGACGAACCCUAUCAAAUAGACCUACAGACUUGAUUGAAGAAGACAUUGGUGCUGGCACUGGUGACAAUGAAAAUGUGCAAGUGUUCACAGAUGAUAGAGUUGUUUCACCAGGUCAAGCAAGCUCAGCUCUUUUUAAUUUUGUCCCAACCACAAAAUUAAAAGGGAUGGAAGAUUGGUUGGAAGAAGAAGAUCAAUUCAAAUAUGUGAAACCAACACAGGACUUUGUGAUUGAAAAGCAAGUGGAUGAACACCUGGAUUUUCCCCCUCUGCUGAAAGCUUUUGUUUUUCCGCGUGGAGACAUCUCUCGCUUUCCUCCUCCAAAACGGAGCAGUCUUGGCACCUCUAACUAUUACUUGAUGGACGCUGCCUCCCUCCUUCCUGUGUUGGCAUUAAACCUUCAACCUACCGAAUCUGUGUUAGAUUUGUGCGCAGCUCCUGGUGGAAAGUCUUUGGCCAUUUUACAGACAGUGUAUCCAAACCUUCUUGUAUGUAACGACAUUACAAUUUCUCGAGUUGUUCGACUAAAGGAUGUUCUGAAGCAGUAUCUAGGACAAACGCAAUCCUGGAAGGAACACCUCGAAAUCCGGACUUCGAAUGCUAUCGAUUGGAAUGAAUUUGAAUCAUUUAACAAAGUCCUUGUAGACGUCCCUUGUACCAACGACAGGCAUUCAGUCAUGGAAAAUGACAACAAUUAUUUCAGAAAAGAUCGCAUGAAAGAACGGAUCAGCUUGCCUGAAACCCAAUCUGCUCUUCUCUGCGCCGGAGUUCGAGCGUGUAAGCCCGGUGGCACUAUCGUCUAUUCCACUUGUAGCCUUUCGCCCAUUCAGAAUGACGGUGUCGUUCAUAUGGCAAUAAAGCAACUAAAAGAAGUUUACAAUAUCGAUACGGUCGUCAAGGAUAUGUCGAUGACGGUCAAACAUUUCAAGUUCCUUUGCCGUUUUGCCCCAUCAUCCUCGCUCCGCUAUGGCCAAGUGGCGCUCCCGUCCAUAGUCAACAAUUUUGGACCCAUGUACAUAUCCAAGUUGCAGCGGGUCAAUUAACCUUCAUUGUCAUCUGAGGCCAUCUUGAUAACAUAACGGCCUGUCGACAGUUUCCCCUUUAGUGUUAUUACGAGAAACAUCGCCCUGCCUCCCAACGUGGAGACCAAACGUAAGCCUGAUUAGUAUACGAUGAUUUUUGGGACCAGCUUCGACCAUGUCCGACUUGACCGUGCCAGAACUUCAUUUGCACC